UUUUUCAUAAUUUGCAGUCCUUGCAAAACCUUGGGCACUGCAAUACAGAAGAGAAGAAGCCAAAUCAGUUUGAUCUCCAAUUUGACAAGUGAGAUGCCAUCAAGUUGUACCGCAUCGAUCAAGCUCUGAGAUACAGAGGUUGGGUUGAAAAUGAGUACAAAAUUUCACCAUCUACCGGUACCAGGGAAUCUCACUGUUUUUGCUUCCUUCACUGGUCAAUCUGACCAGGUAUUGAAUCAAAUACCCGGAUUAUUAUCUUUUGAAAUUGCGUUGAGAAAAGCAAGAGAGCUCCAGGCCUAUGUUGACGUGGUUGGUUCCUGUACUGGAAUGGUUCAUUUACAUAGUUGGCGUACUUAUUAUGAACGGUGUGAGAUUACUACUACCAAAAGUUGUGCCUUUUGAAGAUUAUUGCUGGUUAGUAUCUUUUUUUCCAUGCUGGAUUUGUCAAUGUCUAAAUGGAAUGUGAUUCACAAGCAGCUGCUCCAUCUUUUUCGAAUCACUCACAAUUGGCCUCAGCAAAACCACGCACUCUGGAGGAAUCAACUUUUUGGACAUCCUCCAUGACUAGCUAUCAAUAGGCUAACACCGUUUGAGAAUAUACACCUGCUAAUGGACAUCAUACAACUAUUUUUUGCAAACUAUUGCAGCAGCAAUUGUAAUUAGCUUUAAACUAUGACAACCUAUUUUUUGAACACACUACCACAACAUAUGUA
Rosa rugosa (rugosa rose) is the source of this 713-nucleotide long non-coding RNA. RefSeq lists it as uncharacterized. The transcript has 3 exons. The record is from RefSeq and is a predicted model, not a curated record. NCBI's taxonomy places the organism in Eukaryota, Viridiplantae, Streptophyta, Magnoliopsida, Rosales, Rosaceae.